AUACGGAGGAUGCAAGCGUUAUCCGGAUUUAUUGGGUUUAAAGGGUGCGUAGGCGGUUUGCUAAGCGGGAGGUGAAAUGCCGGCGCUCAACGUCGGAAGUGCCUCCCGUACUGGUGGACUUGAAUGACUCUGCCGUGGGAGGAAUGUGUAGUGUAGCGGUGAAAUGCUUAGAGAUUACACAGAACACCGAUUGCGAAGGCAUCUCACGAAGGGUUGAUUGACGCUGAGGCACGAAAGCGUGGGGAUCAAACAGGAUUAGAUACCCUGGUAGUCCACGCAGUAAACGAUGAUGGCUAACCGCUGGGCUUAUCAGUUCAGUGGCCAAGCGAAAGCGAUAAGCCAUCCACCUGGGGAGUACGACCGCAAGGUUGAAACUCAAAGGAAUUGACGGGG
This 393-nucleotide ribosomal RNA is filed under the name uncultured bacterium. RNAcentral describes it as "partial 16S ribosomal RNA". It matches the Rfam family "Bacterial small subunit ribosomal RNA", at positions 523 to 918 of the family's 1533-position model. The record is from RNAcentral.